This 620-nucleotide ribosomal RNA is filed under the name uncultured Actinomycetes bacterium. RNAcentral describes it as "bacterial SSU rRNA". It matches the Rfam family "Bacterial small subunit ribosomal RNA", at positions 556 to 1177 of the family's 1533-position model. Lineage: Bacteria; Bacillati; Actinomycetota; Actinomycetes. The record is from RNAcentral.
GGGCGUAAGAGCUCGUAGGCGGUUUGUCGCGUCUGCUGUGAAAUCCCGAGGCUCAACCUCGGGCCUGCAGUGGGUACGGGCAAACUAGAGUGUGGUAGGGGAGAUUGGAACUCCUGGUGUAGCGGUGGAAUGCGCAGAUAUCAGGAAGAACACCGAUGGCGAAGGCAGAUCUCUGGGCCAUUACUGACGCUGAGGAGCGAAAGCGUGGGGAGCGAACAGGAUUAGAUACCCUGGUAGUCCACGCCGUAAACGUUGGGAACUAGAUGUAGGGUCCAUUCCACGGAUUCUGUGUCGCAGCUAACGCAUUAAGUUCCCCGCCUGGGGAGUACGGCCGCAAGGCUAAAACUCAAAGGAAUUGACGGGGGCCCGCACAAGCGGCGGAGCACGCGGAUUAAUUCGAUGCAACGCGAAGAACCUUACCAAGGCUUGACAUAUACCGGAAAAGCGUAGAAAUACGCUCCCCGCAAGGUCGGUAUACAGGUGGUGCAUGGUUGUCGUCAGCUCGUGUCGUGAGAUGUUGAGUUAAGUCCCGCAACGAGCGCAACCCUCGUCCUAUGUUGCCAGCACGUAAUGGUGGGAACUCAUGGGAGACUGCCGGGGUCAACUCGGAGGAAGGUAAU